Long non-coding RNA from Dromaius novaehollandiae (emu), 1519 nucleotides. RefSeq lists it as uncharacterized. The record is from RefSeq and is a predicted model, not a curated record. The transcript is spliced from 4 exons. Lineage: Eukaryota; Metazoa; Chordata; Aves; Casuariiformes; Dromaiidae.
AGGUUCUGCCAUGAAAGCUGCGGCAAUUACUACAGCUGAAAGUUGGUGCAAAGACUUAAGAUGACACCCUCUAGCAUGGAGCUUUAUAAAGAUGAAUUUUGAAGCCAAUCUGCAAUCCAAACCUAUUCCUGAACGCUUCAGAUGAAAUUUGUUUUGGCCUUGCUGGCGGAAAAAGGUGAAAGUGGAAGUCUUGUAUUGAGACUCUCAGAAGGCUCCCAGAUAUCCUAUAGAACUUCUGUAGACAAAUACUGGGAGCUGGCCUCUAGACCAGAGCCACCAUCCUCCACAGAAGUCAGCCACGUGAAGACCAUUUUAUCGGUAGUCUCGACCUGCAGCAGAGCCACUUAGCUGCUAAGUGCCACGGGCGAAACUCUCACGCUGGCAGGUCAGGUGUGCCCCUAAGGGAAGGUAACGAAGGUGAAGAGCUCAGCCCUUUUGGGGAUGCUGCCCCAAUGUUAGUUCAUCCUGCUGCUGUAUGCAGCCAUGCCAGGGCACAUGUGUAUACGUCUGCCUAAGGGGUAUCCAGGAAAUAAGUAUAUGUUCUGGUUCUGAAAAACACCAACAUAAAGCUGAAGCUCCAAGACAGUAGAGCUAUAUACCAUGUUUUAUAUCUGCUCUUUGAGAACCACUGCUGAUUUAUCUUUUGAAUUUACAUCUUUUGGGGUUGUACCUUUUGUUAUAACUUUGAGUUAUGAGCAUGAUUCAGUUCCCAGACAGCACUUGAUUGAGGAGUGCUGUUAAGACCAGACUACAGCUGCAUCGAGGGGAAUAAUGUGACUGGCUAGAUUAUGUGUCAGAUUUCCCCUUAGGUUUCCUGUUUACUGAAGUAGUCUUGGCCCUUGAUAAGUAAAAUUGUUUUCCAUUUGAAUAUCAGUCCAGUAUUAGCUCUCAGGAUGGGAUUCACCCAGCAUCAAUUCUGUCUUUCUAAAAGCACACUCCACUGUUGCUGUCUGGCUGCUGAGGGCAUGCUAAAACUGAAGUCAAAAAUACACAGAAUGGUUGGUCUCAGGAUGGAUCCACCUCUUUUCAUUGACUACAGAUGGGAUUUGCCUAGUUUAUAUUGCAUGUCAGGCUUUCACACUCCUAAAAUUAGGUGAGGUGAAUCUCAUUUUCAGCAAUUACAAGAGCUUUAGCUUUAUGUUUUGAAUUCUGAGGUGAUGAGCUCUAUGAAAAACACCUCAUCAACAAAAUCUGGGGUCCUGUGUCAGUUCAGCAUCAUCUGUGGGAAUCAACAGGAGUCAGACUCAAGCACUUGGCUUCUUCCGAGAAUCCUGCUCUAUACAGAGACAGUGCCUAGCAUCUUUUGUCUUUACUCCAUCUUUUAAUCCAAGUCUUUUCUGGGCAAUCUUCUUGCUAUAACUAUUUCAACAAAUGGCAAGCACAGUAAGGGUAAUAACAGUAGAAUUUUCAGAAAGUUAGUAAAAAUCUUCACCAAAAUACCUUGUGAAGACACAGCAGAAUAGACCAAAGCUCUUAUUCAGCUCUCCACAUACAAACAAAAAAUCCCCCCCCCCCCCCC